RNAcentral lists this ribosomal RNA (453 nucleotides) under uncultured Lactobacillales bacterium. RNAcentral describes it as "bacterial SSU rRNA". It matches the Rfam family "Bacterial small subunit ribosomal RNA", at positions 917 to 1370 of the family's 1533-position model. The record is from RNAcentral. Lineage: Bacteria; Bacillati; Bacillota; Bacilli; Lactobacillales.
GGGCCCGCACAAGCGGUGGAGCAUGUGGUUUAAUUCGAAGCAACGCGAAGAACCUUACCAGGUCUUGACAUCCAGUGACAACUCUAGAGAUAGAGCUUUCCCUUCGGGGACACUGAGACAGGUGGUGCAUGGUUGUCGUCAGCUCGUGUCGUGAGAUGUUGGGUUAAGUCCCGCAACGAGCGCAACCCUUAUUACUAGUUGCCAGCAUUAAGUUGGGCACUCUAGUGAGACUGCCGGUGACAAACCGGAGGAAGGUGGGGAUGACGUCAAAUCAUCAUGCCCCUUAUGACCUGGGCUACACACGUGCUACAAUGGGCGGUACAACGAGUUGCGAACUCGCGAGAGCAAGCUAAUCUCUAAAAACCGUUCUACAGUUCGGAUUGUAGGCUGCAACUCGCCUACAUGAAGCUGGAAUCGCUAGUAAUCGUGGAUCAGCAUGCCACGGUGAAUACG